RNAcentral lists this transfer RNA (71 nucleotides) under Rhodanobacter glycinis. RNAcentral's name for it is "tRNA-Met". It matches the Rfam family "tRNA". From Rfam's summary of the family: Transfer RNA (tRNA) molecules are approximately 80 nucleotides in length. Their secondary structure includes four short double-helical elements and three loops (D, anti-codon, and T loops). The record is from RNAcentral. Lineage: Bacteria; Pseudomonadati; Pseudomonadota; Gammaproteobacteria; Lysobacterales; Rhodanobacteraceae.
UGUGAGGUAGUGUAAUGGUAACACGGUAGACUCAUGACCUACCAUUCAAGGUUCAAUUCCUUGCUUCGCGC